Molecule: ribosomal RNA, 485 nt
Filed under: uncultured bacterium
Lineage: Bacteria
Description: bacterial SSU rRNA
Rfam family: Bacterial small subunit ribosomal RNA
Source: RNAcentral
GAUGAACGCUGGCGGCGUGCUUAACACAUGCAAGUCGAACGGUGAAAGAGAGCUUGCUCUCUGGAUCAGUGGCGAACGGGUGAGUAACACGUGAGCAACCUGCCCCAGACUCUGGGAUAACAGUUGGAAACAGCUGCUAAUACCGGAUACGAGACGUGAAGGCAUCUUCAACGUCUGGAAAGAACUUCGGUCUGGGAUGGGCUCGCGGCCUAUCAGCUAGUUGGUGAGGUAAUGGCUCACCAAGGCGUCGACGGGUAGCCGGCCUGAGAGGGUGACCGGCCACACUGGGACUGAGACACGGCCCAGACUCCUACGGGAGGCAGCAGUGGGGAAUAUUGCACAAUGGGCGAAAGCCUGAUGCAGCAACGCCGCGUGAGGGACGACGGCCUUCGGGUUGUAAACCUCUUUUAGCAGGGAAGAAGCGAAAGUGACGGUACCUGCAGAAAAAGCACCGGCUAACUACGUGCCAGCCGCCGCAGUAAUAC